Molecule: ribosomal RNA, 373 nt
Filed under: uncultured beta proteobacterium
Lineage: Bacteria; Pseudomonadati; Pseudomonadota; Betaproteobacteria
Description: bacterial SSU rRNA
Rfam family: Bacterial small subunit ribosomal RNA
Source: RNAcentral
AUCUCUGAUUAGCUAGUUGGUGAGGUAAAGGCUUACCAAGGCNUCGAUCAGUAGCUGGUCUGAGAGGACGACCAGCCACACUGGGACUGAGACACGGCCCAGACUCCUACGGGAGGCAGCAGUGGGGAAUUUUGGACAAUGGGGGAAACCCUGAUCCAGCCAUGCCGCGUGAGUGAAGAAGGCCUUCGGGUUGUAAAGCUCUUUCAGCCGGAACGAAAAGGUUACGGUUAAUACCNGUGACUAAUGACGGUACCGGAAGAAGAAGCACCGGCUAACUACGUGCCAGCAGCCGCGGUAAUACGUAGGGUGCGAGCGUUAAUCGGAAUUACUGGGCGUAAAGCGUGCGCAGGCGGUUUUGUAAGUCAGAUGUGAU